GGUCAAGCUACUAAGGGCACACGGUGGAUGCCUUGGCGCCAGAGGCCGAUGAAGGACGUGGCAAGACUGCGAAAAGCUCGGGCUAGCUGUCUAGCAAGCUCAACCCGAGAUCUCCGAAUGGGGCAACCCGGCCCGGGUCAUACCGGGUCACCGCCAGCCGAACACAUAGGCUGGAUGGAGGGCACCGGGGGAACUGAAACAUCUCAGUACCCCGAGGAAAAGAAAGUAUUCUCCUAGUAGCGGCGAGCGAACGGGGAACAGCCCAAACCGAUGUCUUCGGAUGUCGGGGUUGUAGGACGGGUCAUUGGAGUUACAAAUCAGCUGGGUAGCGGAAAGGCCUGGAACGGCCUGCCACAGGGGGUGAGAGCCCCGUACGCGAAACUCAGCUGACUCCGAUCCGUAUCCUGAGUACCACGGGACACGAGAAAUCCAGUGGGAAUCUGGGGAGACCACUCUCCAAGGCUAAAUACUUCUGGCGACCGAUAGUGAACAAGUACCGUGAGGGAAAGGUGAAAAGCACCCCGGGAGGGGAGUGAAAUAGUCCCUGAAACCGUGUGCCUACAAGCAGUCAGAGCCUGGCUUGUCCGGGUGAUGGCGUGCCUAUUGAAGAAUGAGCCGACGAGUUACGUUCAGUGGCAAGGUUAAGUCAUGUGAGUGACGGAGCCGUAGCGAAAGCGAGUCUGAAUAGGGCAUUCAGUCGCUGGACGUAGACCCGAAACCGAGUGAUCUACCCAUGGGCAGUGUGAAGCGAGAGUAAUGUCUCGUGGAGGCGCGAACCUUCCUGCGUUGCAAAGCAGUUGGAUGACCUGUGGGUAGCGGUGAAAUGCCAAUCGAACUCGGAGAUAGCUGGUUCUCCCCGAAAUGCAUCUAGGUGCAGCCUCGAGUGUUUUCCGAUGGGGGUAGAGCUCUGGUUGGGCUAGGGGGCAUAGCGCUUACCAAACCCAGUCAAACUGCGAAUACCGUCGGAUGAGAGCUCGGGAGUGAGACAGUGGGUACUAAGAUCCAUUGUCAAAAGGGAAACAACCCAGACCCUCAGCUAAGGUCCCUAAGUCCAUGCUCAGUGUUAAAGGAUGUCUGGUCGCACAGACAGCCAGGAUGUUGGCUUAGAAGCAGCCACCAUUAAAAGAGUGCGUAACAGCUCACUGGUCGAGUGGCCGGGCGCCGACAAUGUAUCGGGGCUCAAGCAUGGCACCGAAGCUAGGGAAUAGGCCGCAAGGUCUAUUGGUAGGGGAGCGUUCUGUAGGCAGUGAAGCCGGCGGGGUGACCCCUGGUGGAGCGUACAGAAGUGAGAAUGUCGGCAUGAGUAGCGUAAUUCAGGUGAGAAACCUGGACGCCGUAAGCCUGAGGUUUCCUACGCAAGGUUAUUCCGCGUAGGGUUAGGCGGGCCUAAGCCGAGGGCGAGAGCCGUAGGCGAUGGACAGCAGGUUAGUAUUCCUGCCCCGCUGCAGUAGCGUUUGAGACGAGAGGCGUGACCCGGGAGGAUAGUCAGGACGGGUCUUGUGGACAUGGCCCGAGAGGCACCGUAGGCAUCUGGUGGUAGGCAAAUCCGCCGCCAGGCUAAGCGGAGGGUGCAUUAGUAAGUGGAGACUUCGGUCAAAACGAUGCCCUGAUGAGUCCAUGCCGGCUAGAAAAGCGUCGUCGUCGAGUUACUGUGGCGCCCGUACCGCAAACCGACACUGGUGGGCGACGGUAAGUACCGUAAGGCGUUCGAGAGAACCCUCGUUAAGGAACUCUGCAAAUUGGCUCCGUAACUUCGGGAGAAGGAGCGCCCCUGGAGGUGAAGGACUUUACGUCCGGAGCGUCCGGGGGCCGCAGCGAGCCGGCCCAGGCGACUGUUUAACAAAAACACAGGUCUCUGCGAACCCGUAAGGGGAAGUAUAGGGGCUGACACCUGCCCAGUGCCGGAAGGUUAAAGGGAGGGCUGAGAGGCCUGAACUGAAGCCCCGGUGAACGGCGGCCGUAACUAUAACGGUCCUAAGGUAGCGAAAUUCCUUGUCGGGUAAGUUCCGACCCGCACGAAUGGUGUAACGAUCUGGGCGCUGUCUCGACGAGGGACUCGGCGAAAUUGAGUUGGCCGUGAAGACGCGGCCUACCCGCAGCAGGACAAAAAGACCCCGUGGAGCUUUACUGCAACUUGACAUUGAAGUCCGGGCUAGGAUGCGUAGGAUAGGUGGGAGGCUUUGAUCCGUUCAUUUCGGUGGGCGGUGAGCCAACGGUGAAAUACCACUCUUCCUAGUUUGUACUUCUAACCGGCGAGCAAGCGCUGGGACAAUGUCUGGUGGGCAGUUUGACUGGGGCGGUCGCCUCCAAAAAUGUAACGGAGGCGCGCAACGGUUCCCUCAGGGUGGAUGGUAAUCACCCGUUGAGUGCAUUGGCAUAAGGGAGCUUGACUGCAAGACUGACGCGUCGAGCAGGGACGAAAGUCGGCCAAAGUGAUCCUAUGGUCCCGUGUGGAAGGGCCAUGGCUUAUCGGAUAAAAGCUACCCCGGGGAUAACAGGCUGAUCCUACCCAAGAGUUCACAUCGACGGUAGGGUUUGGCACCUCGAUGUCGGCUCGUCGCAUCCUGGGGCUGAAUCAGGUCCCAAGGGUUGGGCUGUUCGCCCAUUAAAGCGGUACGCGAGCUGGGUUCAGAACGUCGUGAGACAGUUCGGUCUCUAUCCGCUGUGGGCGCAAGUAGCUUGAGGAGAUCUGCCCCUAGUACGAGAGGACCGGGGUGGACGGACCUCUGGUGUGCCGGUUGUUCCGCCAGGAGCAUCGCCGGGUAGCCAUGUCCGGAACGGAUAACCGCUGAAAGCAUCUAAGCGGGAAGCCGACUUCAAGAUGAGGCUACUCACCGGGUUAACCGGGUAAGACCGCGGGAAGACUACCCGCUUGAUAGGCCAGAGGUGUACGCACAGCAAUGUGUUCAGCUGACUGGUACUAAUGGUCGAGGGCUUGACCUU
RNAcentral lists this ribosomal RNA (2943 nucleotides) under Chloroflexi bacterium HGW-Chloroflexi-9. RNAcentral describes it as "bacterial LSU rRNA". It matches the Rfam family "Bacterial large subunit ribosomal RNA". Lineage: Bacteria; Bacillati; Chloroflexota. The record is from RNAcentral.